CCUACGGGAGGCUGCAGUGGGGGAUAUUGCACAAUGGGGGAAACCCUGAUGCAGCGACGCCGCGUGGGCGAAGAAGUAUUUCGGUAUGUAAAGCCCUAUCAGCAGGGAAGAAGAAAUGACGGUACCUUAGUAAGAAGCACCGGCUAAAUACGUGCCAGCAGCCGCGGUAAUACGUAUGGUGCAAGCGUUAUCCGGAUUUACUGGGUGUAAAGGGAGCGCAGGCGGAACGGCAAGCAAGUUGUGAAAGCCCGCGGCUCAACCGAGGAACUGCAUUGGGAACUACCGGGCUGGAGUGCCGGAGAGGAAGGUGGAAUUCCUAGUGUAGCGGUGAAAUGCGUAGAUAUUAGGAGGAACACCAGUGGCGAAGGCGACCUACUGGACGGUAACUGACGCUGAGGCUCGAAAGCGUGGGGAGCAAACAGGAUUAGAUACCCCUGUAGUC
RNAcentral lists this ribosomal RNA (442 nucleotides) under uncultured bacterium. RNAcentral's name for it is "partial 16S ribosomal RNA". It matches the Rfam family "Bacterial small subunit ribosomal RNA", at positions 338 to 795 of the family's 1533-position model. The record is from RNAcentral.